UCAGCAGCCGCGGUAAUACGUUCCCGGGCCUUGUACACACCGCCCGUCACACCACGGAAGCAAGCAACACCCGAAGCCGGUGGCCUAACCCUCUGGGAGGGAGCCGUCGAAGGUGGGGCUCGUGACUGGGGUGAAGUCGUAACAAGGUAGCCGUACCGGAAGGUGCGGCUGGAUCACCUCCUUUCUAGGGAAGCUCCAGGAUUGGAGCGGUCGCUCAGGCGGCCGGCGCACACCGCGCCGGCGCAGCUCGAGCGGCUACCGAAAUGUCGACCGGACCUGGCGCCCGGAGUCCUCGUGGCUCGCGGGCGCAUGCUGUUGAGUUUUGAGAGACCGAGCGCCCAGUCCGGGCGUGCGCCUCUUCGCGGACCUUGAAAACUGCACAGCCAUGCCAACAAACGGGUAUCACCGCGUGCUCGCGUGAGCUCCUUUCCGGGCUCGUGCGUAGCGCGUGAUCACCGUCAAGAUAGGAAGGGCACAUGGUGGAUACCUAGGCACACAGAGA
RNAcentral lists this small RNA (502 nucleotides) under uncultured Patulibacter sp. RNAcentral describes it as "bacterial LSU rRNA". The stretch from base 1 to 184 matches the Rfam family "Bacterial small subunit ribosomal RNA", at positions 1349 to 1533 of the family's 1533-position model. The record is from RNAcentral. Lineage: Bacteria; Bacillati; Actinomycetota; Thermoleophilia; Solirubrobacterales; Patulibacteraceae.